RNAcentral lists this ribosomal RNA (468 nucleotides) under uncultured bacterium. RNAcentral's name for it is "partial 16S ribosomal RNA". It matches the Rfam family "Bacterial small subunit ribosomal RNA", at positions 28 to 507 of the family's 1533-position model. The record is from RNAcentral.
GACGAACGCUGGCGGCGUGCUUAACACAUGCAAGUCGAACGGAAAGGCCCUGCUUUUGUGGGGUGCUCGAGUGGCGAACGGGUGAGUAACACGUGAGUAACCUGCCCUUGACUUUGGGAUAACUUCAUGAAACUGGGGCCAAUACCGGAUAGGAGCUCCUGCUGCAUGGUGGGGGUUGGAAAGUUUCGGCGGUUGGGGAUGGACUCGCGGCUUAUCAGCUUGUUGGUGGGGUAGUGGCUUACCAAGGCUUUGACGGGUAGCCGGCCUGAGAGGGUGACCGGCCACAUUGGGACUGAGAUACGGCCCAGACUCCUACGGGAGGCAGCAGUGGGGAAUAUUGCACAAUGGGCGGAAGCCUGAUGCAGCAACGCCGCGUGCGGGAUGACGGCCUUCGGGUUGUAAACCGCUUUCGCCUGUGACGAAGCGUGAGUGACGGUAAUGGGUAAAGAAGCACCGGCUAACUACGUG